Molecule: ribosomal RNA, 2899 nt
Filed under: Escherichia coli P0299917.1
Lineage: Bacteria; Pseudomonadati; Pseudomonadota; Gammaproteobacteria; Enterobacterales; Enterobacteriaceae
Description: bacterial LSU rRNA
Rfam family: Bacterial large subunit ribosomal RNA
Source: RNAcentral
UUAAGCGACUAAGCGUACACGGUGGAUGCCCUGGCAGUCAGAGGCGAUGAAGGACGUGCUAAUCUGCGAUAAGCGUCGGUAAGGUGAUAUGAACCGUUAUAACCGGCGAUUUCCGAAUGGGGAAACCCAGUGUGAUUCGUCACACUAUCAUUAACUGAAUCCAUAGGUUAAUGAGGCGAACCGGGGGAACUGAAACAUCUAAGUACCCCGAGGAAAAGAAAUCAACCGAGAUUCCCCCAGUAGCGGCGAGCGAACGGGGAGCAGCCCAGAGCCUGAAUCAGUGUGUGUGUUAGUGGAAGCGUCUGGAAAGGCGCGCGAUACAGGGUGACAGCCCCGUACACAAAAAUGCACAUACUGUGAGCUCGAUGAGUAGGGCGGGACACGUGGUAUCCUGUCUGAAUAUGGGGGGACCAUCCUCCAAGGCUAAAUACUCCUGACUGACCGAUAGUGAACCAGUACCGUGAGGGAAAGGCGAAAAGAACCCCGGCGAGGGGAGUGAAAAAGAACCUGAAACCGUGUACGUACAAGCAGUGGGAGCACGCUUAGGCGUGUGACUGCGUACCUUUUGUAUAAUGGGUCAGCGACUUAUAUUCUGUAGCAAGGUUAACCGAAUAGGGGAGCCGAAGGGAAACCGAGUCUUAACUGGGCGUUAAGUUGCAGGGUAUAGACCCGAAACCCGGUGAUCUAGCCAUGGGCAGGUUGAAGGUUGGGUAACACUAACUGGAGGACCGAACCGACUAAUGUUGAAAAAUUAGCGGAUGACUUGUGGCUGGGGGUGAAAGGCCAAUCAAACCGGGAGAUAGCUGGUUCUCCCCGAAAGCUAUUUAGGUAGCGCCUCGUGAAUUCAUCUCCGGGGGUAGAGCACUGUUUCGGCAAGGGGGUCAUCCCGACUUACCAACCCGAUGCAAACUGCGAAUACCGGAGAAUGUUAUCACGGGAGACACACGGCGGGUGCUAACGUCCGUCGUGAAGAGGGAAACAACCCAGACCGCCAGCUAAGGUCCCAAAGUCAUGGUUAAGUGGGAAACGAUGUGGGAAGGCCCAGACAGCCAGGAUGUUGGCUUAGAAGCAGCCAUCAUUUAAAGAAAGCGUAAUAGCUCACUGGUCGAGUCGGCCUGCGCGGAAGAUGUAACGGGGCUAAACCAUGCACCGAAGCUGCGGCAGCGACGCUUAUGCGUUGUUGGGUAGGGGAGCGUUCUGUAAGCCUGUGAAGGUGUACUGUGAGGUAUGCUGGAGGUAUCAGAAGUGCGAAUGCUGACAUAAGUAACGAUAAAGCGGGUGAAAAGCCCGCUCGCCGGAAGACCAAGGGUUCCUGUCCAACGUUAAUCGGGGCAGGGUGAGUCGACCCCUAAGGCGAGGCCGAAAGGCGUAGUCGAUGGGAAACAGGUUAAUAUUCCUGUACUUGGUGUUACUGCGAAGGGGGACGGAGAAGGCUAUGUUGGCCGGGCGACGGUUGUCCCGGUUUAAGCGUGUAGGCUGGUUUUCCAGGCAAAUCCGGAAAAUCAAGGCUGAGGCGUGAUGACGAGGCACUACGGUGCUGAAGCAACAAAUGCCCUGCUUCCAGGAAAAGCCUCUAAGCAUCAGGUAACAUCAAAUCGUACCCCAAACCGACACAGGUGGUCAGGUAGAGAAUACCAAGGCGCUUGAGAGAACUCGGGUGAAGGAACUAGGCAAAAUGGUGCCGUAACUUCGGGAGAAGGCACGCUGAUAUGUAGGUGAGGUCCCUCGCGGAUGGAGCUGAAAAUCAGUCGAAGAUACCAGCUGGCUGCAACUGUUUAUAAAAACACAGCACUGUGCAAACACGAAAGUGGACGUAUACGGUGUGACGCCUGCCCGGUGCCGGAAGGUUAAUUGAUGGGGUCAGCGCAAGCGAAGCUCUUGAUCGAAGCCCCGGUAAACGGCGGCCGUAACUAUAACGGUCCUAAGGUAGCGAAAUUCCUUGUCGGGUAAGUUCCGACCUGCACGAAUGGCGUAAUGAUGGCCAGGCUGUCUCCACCCGAGACUCAGUGAAAUUGAACUCGCUGUGAAGAUGCAGUGUACCCGCGGCAAGACGGAAAGACCCCGUGAACCUUUACUAUAGCUUGACACUGAACAUUGAGCCUUGAUGUGUAGGAUAGGUGGGAGGCUUUGAAGUGUGGACGCCAGUCUGCAUGGAGCCGACCUUGAAAUACCACCCUUUAAUGUUUGAUGUUCUAACGUGGACCCGUAAUCCGGGUUGCGGACAGUGUCUGGUGGGUAGUUUGACUGGGGCGGUCUCCUCCUAAAGAGUAACGGAGGAGCACGAAGGUUGGCUAAUCCUGGUCGGACAUCAGGAGGUUAGUGCAAUGGCAUAAGCCAGCUUGACUGCGAGCGUGACGGCGCGAGCAGGUGCGAAAGCAGGUCAUAGUGAUCCGGUGGUUCUGAAUGGAAGGGCCAUCGCUCAACGGAUAAAAGGUACUCCGGGAUAACAGGCUGAUACCGCCCAAGAGUUCAUAUCGACGGCGGUGUUUGGCACCUCGAUGUCGGCUCAUCACAUCCUGGGGCUGAAGUAGGUCCCAAGGGUAUGGCUGUUCGCCAUUUAAAGUGGUACGCGAGCUGGGUUUAGAACGUCGUGAGACAGUUCGGUCCCUAUCUGCCGUGGGCGCUGGAGAAUGAGGGGGGCUGCUCCUAGUACGAGAGGACCGGAGUGGACGCAUCACUGGUGUUCGGGUUGUCAUGCCAAUGGCACUGCCCGGUAGCUAAAUGCGGAAGAGAUAAGUGCUGAAAGCAUCUAAGCACGAAACUUGCCCCGAGAUGAGUUCUCCCUGACUCCUUGAGAGUCCUGAAGGAACGUUGAAGACGACGACGUUGAUAGGCCGGGUGUGUAAGCGCAGCGAUGCGUUGAGCUAACCGGUACUAAUGAACCGUGAGGCUUAACCUU